GAAAGAAGAAAUAAAUAAUACAGUUUAAAGUUAAAUAGCGGGCCAGCUGCACAAGCAGCCAGACAGGAGUUAAAGCAGGCGGGAAGAGAGUCGUCGUGAAAGACCCAGAGUACGCUGGGAGAGUAACAUUAGCAGGCAGGUGGUUAUGAAGCAGACGAGGAGGGGGAAGAGUCGAGGCCACAGGAGUAACGUUACGCUGGUCUACGUGGAGUUUAAUAGGAUUGCUGGUAAGAUCUUGAAAAGGGAAUUUUACGAGACCCUUGACCAACAUAGUACAUGGCACUUGGACAUUUUCAGAGCGAGAACUAGAGUUGCUGGUCAGCUCUUGAUGAACCUUCUGAAGCAACAAAGCUAUCAGAGCCAACUGAAACUGAACUUUGGUGCUUCAAGGACUACCCCUUUGGUUUGGAGAUGACUCCUGCUUUCUUUAAGAUGUGUUUGAUGUCCGAUGAUCACAGCUCAAUUCUUUAUGUGCCAGUGGGGAUUGUGAUAGUUGAAGAUGGGACAAGAUGGGUCUCCCUCUUCGAUUGGAAUCGUAAUCGAGGGAAAAUUAGUGAUGGACAAUCUACAUGACCUUCCUGAAAAAGUCACUGGGAUACAUGUUUGACUUCAUUCAGCGGAUUCUACUUUCCUUGGGGCAGAAAGACCUGCAGCCUAAAACACAAUCGUUGGCAAACCAGCUGUUUGGCUAAAAUCGAGAAAUUGCUUGGCGCACUUUUAAUUGCAACACAUUUACAUUAAACAUGGUCUUUUGAAAAUGAGACUUAAAAAUAUGA
This is a long non-coding RNA of Carassius auratus (goldfish), 776 nucleotides long. RefSeq lists it as uncharacterized. Lineage: Eukaryota; Metazoa; Chordata; Actinopteri; Cypriniformes; Cyprinidae. The record is from RefSeq and is a predicted model, not a curated record. The transcript is spliced from 6 exons.